RNAcentral lists this ribosomal RNA (732 nucleotides) under Mixta gaviniae. RNAcentral describes it as "bacterial SSU rRNA". It matches the Rfam family "Bacterial small subunit ribosomal RNA", at positions 8 to 729 of the family's 1533-position model. The record is from RNAcentral. Lineage: Bacteria; Pseudomonadati; Pseudomonadota; Gammaproteobacteria; Enterobacterales; Erwiniaceae.
AGAGUUUGAUCCUGGCUCAGAUUGAACGCUGGCGGCAGGCCUAACACAUGCAAGUCGAACGGUAACAGAGAGCAGCUUGCUGCUCUGCUGACGAGUGGCGGACGGGUGAGUAAUGUCUGGGGAUCUGCCCGAUGGAGGGGGAUAACCACUGGAAACGGUGGCUAAUACCGCAUAACGUCGCAAGACCAAAGUGGGGGACCUUCGGGCCUCACACCAUCGGAUGAACCCAGAUGGGAUUAGCUAGUAGGUGGGGUAACGGCUCACCUAGGCGACGAUCCCUAGCUGGUCUGAGAGGAUGACCAGCCACACUGGAACUGAGACACGGUCCAGACUCCUACGGGAGGCAGCAGUGGGGAAUAUUGCACAAUGGGCGCAAGCCUGAUGCAGCCAUGCCGCGUGUAUGAAGAAGGCCUUCGGGUUGUAAAGUACUUUCAGCGGGGAGGAAGGGAUGGAGCUUAAUACGCUUCGUCAUUGACGUUACCCGCAGAAGAAGCACCGGCUAACUCCGUGCCAGCAGCCGCGGUAAUACGGAGGGUGCAAGCGUUAAUCGGAAUUACUGGGCGUAAAGCGCACGCAGGCGGUCUGUCAAGUCGGAUGUGAAAUCCCCGGGCUCAACCCGGGAACUGCAUUCGAAACUGGCAGGCUAGAGUCUCGUAGAGGGGGGUAGAAUUCCAGGUGUAGCGGUGAAAUGCGUAGAGAUCUGGAGGAAUACCGGUGGCGAAGGCGGCCNCC